CUAAGAAUAUUCCGCAAUGGGAGAAAUCCUGACGGAGCGACGCCGCGUGAACGAAGAAGGCAGAAAUGUUGUAAAGUUCUUUUAUAUGGGAAGAAUAAGAUUUGAAGUGGAAUGUCAGAUUGAUGACGGUACCAUAUGAAUAAGCCACGGCUAACUACGUGCCAGCAGCCGCGGUAAUACGUAGGUGGCAAGCGUUGUUCGGAUUCAUUGGGCGUAAAGGGCAUGUAGGCGGUUUGAUAAGUGUGAAUUUAAAUACCGAAGCUUAACUUCGCGUUUGGUUUGCAAACUAUCUAACUAGAGUGCAGGAUGAGAGACUAGAAUUCCGCGUGUAGGGGUGAAAUCUGUAGAUAUGCGGAAGAAUACUUGUGGCGAAGGCGAGUCUCUGGCCUGUAACUGACGCUAAUAUGCGAAAGUGUGGGUAGCAAACA
This 428-nucleotide ribosomal RNA is filed under the name uncultured bacterium. RNAcentral describes it as "partial 16S ribosomal RNA". It matches the Rfam family "Bacterial small subunit ribosomal RNA", at positions 355 to 774 of the family's 1533-position model. The record is from RNAcentral.